AACGCACAUUGCGCCCUCUGGUAUUCCGGGGGGCAUGCCUGUUCGAGCGUCAUUAUAACCACUCAAGCUCUCGCUUGGUAUUGGGGUUCGCGGUUCCGCGGCCCCUAAAAUCAGUGGCGGUGCCUAUCGGCUCUACGCGUAGUAAUACUUCUCGCGAUUGAGUCCGGUAGGGUCACUUGCCAGCAACCCCUAAUUUUUACAGGUUGACCUCGGAUCAGGUAGGGAUACCCGCUGAACUUAA
This 241-nucleotide unclassified non-coding RNA is filed under the name uncultured Helotiales. RNAcentral describes it as "sequence contains ITS2". The stretch from base 1 to 52 matches the Rfam family "5.8S ribosomal RNA", at positions 103 to 154 of the family's 154-position model. Lineage: Eukaryota; Fungi; Ascomycota; Leotiomycetes; Helotiales. The record is from RNAcentral.